This 482-nucleotide unclassified non-coding RNA is filed under the name Hevea brasiliensis (rubber tree). Lineage: Eukaryota; Viridiplantae; Streptophyta; Magnoliopsida; Malpighiales; Euphorbiaceae. The record is from RNAcentral.
UACCAAUAAUUUCAUUUUCUCAAUAAAUUAAAUUAAUAUGAAUUUAGUUGUUCAUUGAUUAUUGUUAAUGAUGAGACUCAAGUUGGUUAAGGGUGCCGCCCAUUAGUCAAUUAAACUCUCUAGGCAAUAAUUGAUGGAAAUUAAGAUCCAUAUUAAUUUAAUUUACCAAUCAAAUUAUUGAAUUUUAUUUUUUAUUACUAAUAGAAUCCCUUUCCGUUUUCUUUUAAAUCAAAUUAAUAUGGAUUUUAAUUGUUUAUCGACUAUAGUUAAUAAUGAGACUCAAGGUUGGUUAAGGGGGCCACCCAUUAUAGUCGUUUUUGCUUUUUGCGAAUUUUCAGGUGAAUUCAGAGUUUCCUUUUUUACUUUCUUUUUGCUACUGCUACUGCUGUUUCUUCUUCUAGCCCUUUUGGCCUCCUUGUCCUGAUGUAGCACCAUGCUUUUUUAUUCUAGACCUUGUAUAUUCUCUGCCCAUUUUGUCAAAA